GGCCUCACUUAUCCACACUCCGGCCACCGCCGCUUCUUGGACCUGGNUCAAGGCGGUCAUGGACGAGCUGUACGACUACUUCACGACGAUGAAGCUGCCGUCGCGCGUGCGCAUCGCCCUUGGCCUGCUGCCUGAACAUGUGCGGCGCCGUGCACUGCUCCGACAUCGCCAUUCUGGGCGUCCACCGCAAGCCCCCCGAUGGAUUGCGGACGGCGAAGUCCCCAACGCCUGCGAAAUUCCCUCGCUGAUCGCGGCCUGCCCGACCUACGCCAUCAAGCCC
This 280-nucleotide ribosomal RNA is filed under the name uncultured sulfate-reducing bacterium. RNAcentral's name for it is "partial 16S ribosomal RNA". The record is from RNAcentral.